Molecule: transfer RNA, 73 nt
Filed under: Desmophyllum pertusum
Lineage: Eukaryota; Metazoa; Cnidaria; Anthozoa; Scleractinia; Caryophylliidae
Description: Lophelia pertusa tRNA
Rfam family: tRNA
About the family: Transfer RNA (tRNA) molecules are approximately 80 nucleotides in length. Their secondary structure includes four short double-helical elements and three loops (D, anti-codon, and T loops).
Source: Rfam by way of RNAcentral
GACGCGGUGGCCUAAUGGUUAGUGCAUUCGACUCCAGAUCGAGCGGUCUGGGUUCGAGCACCAGCCGGGGUCA